GAUGAACGCUGGCGGCGUGCCUAAUACAUGCAAGUCGAGCGAACGGACGAGAAGCUUGCUUCUCUGAUGUUAGCGGCGGACGGGUGAGUAACACGUGGAUAACCUACCUAUAAGACUGGGAUAACUUCGGGAAACCGGAGCUAAUACCGGAUAAUAUUUUGAACCGCAUGGUUCAAACGUGAAAGACGGUCUUGCUGUCACUUAUAGAUGGAUCCGCGCUGCAUUAGCUAGUUGGUAAGGUAACGGCUUACCAAGGCAACGAUGCAUAGCCGACCUGAGAGGGUGAUCGGCCACACUGGAACUGAGACACGGUCCAGACUCCUACGGGAGGCAGCAGGAGGGAAUCUUCCGCAAUGGGCGAAAGCCUGACGGAGCAACGCCGCGUGAGUGAUGAAGGUCUUCGGAUCGUAAAACUCUGUUAUUAGGGAAGAACAUAUGUGUAAGUAACUGUGCACAUCUUGACGGUACCUAAUCAGAAAGCCACGGCUAACUACGUG
Molecule: ribosomal RNA, 497 nt
Filed under: uncultured bacterium
Lineage: Bacteria
Description: partial 16S ribosomal RNA
Rfam family: Bacterial small subunit ribosomal RNA
Source: RNAcentral